This 172-nucleotide ribosomal RNA is filed under the name uncultured bacterium. Its description in RNAcentral is "partial 16S ribosomal RNA". It matches the Rfam family "Bacterial small subunit ribosomal RNA", at positions 336 to 525 of the family's 1533-position model. The record is from RNAcentral.
UUCCUACGGGAGGCAGCAGUGGGGAAUAUUGCACAAUGGGGGAAACCCUGAUGCAGCAACGCCGCGUGAGUGAUGAAGGUUUUCGGAUCGUAAAGCUCUGUCUUUGGGGAAGAUAAUGACGGUACCCAAGGAGGAAGCCACGGCUAACUACGUGCCAGCAGCCGCGGUAAUA